GGAAUAUAAGAACACGUCUCUUAACUAUUAACUAAAAAAACUAAGAACCGGUUCUUAAAUAGGAGUUUUAAGAACCGGUUCUUAACUUUUUUAAUUAAAAAUUAAGAGACGGGUUCUUAUAUUUC
Molecule: microRNA precursor, 125 nt
Organism: Brassica oleracea var. oleracea
Lineage: Eukaryota; Viridiplantae; Streptophyta; Magnoliopsida; Brassicales; Brassicaceae
Rfam family: MIR9563 microRNA precursor family
Source: Rfam